This 760-nucleotide ribosomal RNA is filed under the name Haemophilus influenzae. Its description in RNAcentral is "bacterial SSU rRNA". It matches the Rfam family "Bacterial small subunit ribosomal RNA", at positions 28 to 776 of the family's 1533-position model. The record is from RNAcentral. Lineage: Bacteria; Pseudomonadati; Pseudomonadota; Gammaproteobacteria; Pasteurellales; Pasteurellaceae.
AUUUGAACGCUGGCGGCAGGCUUAACACAUGCAAGUCGAACGGUAGCAGGAGAAAGGUUGCUUUCUUGCUGACGAGUGGCGGACGGGUGAGUAAUGCUUGGGAAUCUGGCUUAUGGAGGGGGAUAACGACGGGAAACUGUCGCUAAUACCGCGUAUUAUCGGAAGAUGAAAGUGCGGGACUGAGAGGCCGCAUGCCAUAGGAUGAGCCCAAGUGGGAUUAGGUAGUUGGUGGGGUAAAGGCCUACCAAGCCUGCGAUCUCUAGCUGGUCUGAGAGGAUGACCAGCCACACUGGAACUGAGACACGGUCCAGACUCCUACGGGAGGCAGCAGUGGGGAAUAUUGCGCAAUGGGGGGAACCCUGACGCAGCCAUGCCGCGUGAAUGAAGAAGGCCUUAGGGUUGUAAAGUUCUUUCGGUAUUGAGGAAGGUUGAUGUGUUAAUAGCACAUCAAAUUGACGUUAAAUACAGAAGAAGCACCGGCUAACUCCGUGCCAGCAGCCGCGGUAAUACGGAGGGUGCGAGCGUUAAUCGGAAUAACUGGGCGUAAAGGGCACGCAGGCGGUUAUUUAAGUGAGGUGUGAAAGCCCCGGGCUUAACCUGGGAAUUGCAUUUCAGACUGGGUAACUAGAGUACUUUAGGGAGGGGUAGAAUUCCACGUGUAGCGGUGAAAUGCGUAGAGAUGUGGAGGAAUACCGAAGGCGAAGGCUGCCCCUUGGGAAUGUACUGACGCUCAUGUGCGAAAGCGUGGGGAGCAUACAGG